UGGUUCCUUACUUGUAUGUUGGGUAA
RNAcentral lists this non-coding RNA (26 nucleotides) under Mus musculus (house mouse). The record is from RNAcentral. Lineage: Eukaryota; Metazoa; Chordata; Mammalia; Rodentia; Muridae.